This is a non-coding RNA of Populus trichocarpa (black cottonwood), 92 nucleotides long. The record is from Rfam. NCBI's taxonomy places the organism in Eukaryota, Viridiplantae, Streptophyta, Magnoliopsida, Malpighiales, Salicaceae.
AUUUUUUGGGUUAAAAAUCAACACUUUAGACAAGUAUCUUAUUUUUAGGAGCCGAUGUCAUUUUUUUGACAUGUCUUCUAUUUUUAGGGACC